CCAUGAUUAGAUUAGUUGGUAGAGCGCUCCACUGGAAAUGGAGAGGUCCCGGGUUCGAUACCCGGACAAGGC
RNAcentral lists this transfer RNA (72 nucleotides) under Ixodes scapularis (black-legged tick). Its description in RNAcentral is "tRNA-Ser". The stretch from base 7 to 66 matches the Rfam family "tRNA", at positions 7 to 64 of the family's 71-position model. From Rfam's summary of the family: Transfer RNA (tRNA) molecules are approximately 80 nucleotides in length. Their secondary structure includes four short double-helical elements and three loops (D, anti-codon, and T loops). Further hydrogen bonds mediate the characteristic L-shaped molecular structure. tRNAs have two regions of fundamental functional importance: the anti-codon, which is responsible for specific mRNA codon recognition, and the 3' end, to which the tRNAs corresponding amino acid is attached (by aminoacyl-tRNA synthetases). tRNAs cope with the degeneracy of the genetic code in two manners: having more than one tRNA (with a specific anti-codon) for a particular amino acid; and 'wobble' base-pairing, i.e. permitting non-standard base-pairing at the 3rd anti-codon position. Lineage: Eukaryota; Metazoa; Arthropoda; Arachnida; Ixodida; Ixodidae. The record is from RNAcentral.